CCACAUCCAAGGAAGGCAGCAGGCACGCAAAUUACCCACUCCCGGCACGGGGAGGUAGUGACAAAAAAUAACGAUACGGGACUCAUCCGAGGCCCCGUAAUCGGAAUGAGAACACCCUAAAUCCUUUAACGAGGAUCUAUUGGAGGGCAAGUCUGGUGCCAGCAGCCGCGGUAAUUCCAGCUCCAAUAGCGUAUAUUAAAGUUGUUGCGGUUAAAAAGCUCGUAGUUGGUUCUGCGUGCCACGCUGUCGGUUCACCGCCUGCCGGUGCAACUGGCAUGCCGUGGCAUGUCCUGUCGGUGGCGGAUAGGCUUCGCGGCGUGCCCUAUG
RNAcentral lists this ribosomal RNA (327 nucleotides) under Narnia snowi. RNAcentral describes it as "SSU rRNA". It matches the Rfam family "Eukaryotic small subunit ribosomal RNA", at positions 410 to 759 of the family's 1831-position model. Lineage: Eukaryota; Metazoa; Arthropoda; Insecta; Hemiptera; Coreidae. The record is from RNAcentral.